AGAGUUUGAUCAUGGCUCAGGACGAACGCUGGCGGCGUGCUUAACACAUGCAAGUCGAGCGGAAAGGCCCUUCGGGGUACUCGAGCGGCGAACGGGUGAGUAACACGUGAGUAACCUGCCCUGGACUUUGGGAUAACCCUCGGAAACGGGGGCUAAUACCGGAUAUGACGACUCACCGCAUGGUGUGGUUGUGGAAAGUUUUUCGGUCUGGGAUGGGCUCGCGGCCUAUCAGCUUGUUGGUGGGGUGAUGGCCUACCAAGGCGACGACGGGUAGCCGGCCUGAGAGGGCGACCGGCCACACUGGGACUGAGACACGGCCCAGACUCCUACGGGAGGCAGCAGUGGGAAUAUUGCACAAUGGGCGGAAGCCUGAUGCAGCGACGCCGCGUGAGGGAUGACGGCCUUCGGGUUGUAAACCUCUUUCAGCAGGGACGAAGCGUGAGUGACGGUACCUGCAGAAGAAGCGCCGGCCAACUACGUGCCAGCAGCCGCGGUAAUACA
This 501-nucleotide ribosomal RNA is filed under the name uncultured bacterium. RNAcentral's name for it is "bacterial SSU rRNA". It matches the Rfam family "Bacterial small subunit ribosomal RNA", at positions 8 to 527 of the family's 1533-position model. The record is from RNAcentral.